CUGGUAUACUGACUAACCUGUAGUAACCUGUACUGCUGACAGUCCUGGGUACACAAGCAAUGCAUUAAGGUUAUUAGCAAAGCAAUUUUCUAAAUUACCUGAAUGGAGCUUUCAAGAGAGCUGCAUGGUCAACUCAUGUCACUUCUGUCACCCUGCUGAAUGCCACAUCACACUGCCAAUGCUCAGGAGCACUGACUGCUGGCUUCUGCAAGAAUGGAAGGAAAGGAAGACAUGGACACAUUGGCUACAUCUAAACUACUAAAAAAGUUAGUCAGAGAAUUUUCCUGCAGACCAACUGGCAUGAAAGAACUUGAAUCCACGCAGCUAAACUCUCUUGCCCUCCAAAUCACGGUGGCCACAUCCAAAAUAUCUAUUGGUGAUGGUGCCUGAACUGGGCUUUGUUUGAACCCAAGCUGUGCUUUGGCAUUGUCUGGAAGAGCAUGAACAGGCUUGCACCAAAACCAUGCCAAGGACCAGUUUAGCGUACGGAUGGUUUCGGGACCAUGCCUUGCUGGUCUUGUUUAGUUUUUUUAGUGUCAGAGGGAAACCUCAGUAAUUCUGCCAGGAGUCAACAGGAAACCCUUUCUGGCCUCAGUGACCAGAAGCUGCUGAGAAGUAUAAUCAUUAGACAAGUACUAUGCAUAUGCAUGGCCCAACACUUCUACCUUGCUCCCUAUCACUGCAGGAGGAUUGGGAUAAUUCUUCUGUUUGCACCAGAUCAGAGGCAAACAUGUGAGUGCUUAGAAGAAAAUACUCCUGAACACAAGCCGUUGUUGAAGUUUACCUCUGAUGACAUCUUUGGGAAACACACUGAAACACCCCAUAGGAACAAGGAAUGCAUAAAGCCUGCAAGCUCUUUAACAGGUGGAAAAGUCAUUCUGUGA
This 884-nucleotide long non-coding RNA is filed under the name Cyanistes caeruleus (blue tit). Its description in RNAcentral is "lncRNA (ENSCCEG00000011616.1)". Lineage: Eukaryota; Metazoa; Chordata; Aves; Passeriformes; Paridae. The record is from RNAcentral.